AAUGAAUGCUAAACAAGCAAGUUUUGGUUGAAAUUGUUGACUUUUUAAAAACACUUUUGAUGAAAUGGAACUUCUCCCAAAAGCUUGAUUAUUUUUUCACCGCUCCAACACACGGUACUUUCCCUUCUCCGGUUAUCCCUUCUCUUUCAUUUUCUUUUUUUCUUCCAUUUUCUCCAAGGUUUUUGCUGCUCUCUCCCUCUCUUUCUUCUACUCCCCUAAUCUCAUCUUUGCAUUUUAACUCCCUAUUUAACUUUCUCGUUUUUCCCCAUUUAAGGUUAAACUCUUUCUAAUUACUGCUGAGUUUGGUUGCUCUCCAUUUCAGGUUAACUUUCUCGUUUCACCUUUGAUUUUCUCAAGUUUUCUAUUUGGUUGCUGAGUUUGAUUCUUUUGCUGAGUUUGAUUUUCUUAAGACUUAAAAGAGUCCUAAUAAUGGCAAACACACGGAACAAUUAACCCCUAAUCAAAGAGAAACAGUGAAAAAUGGGAAUUCCCUACAACAUUAUUUAUGUGAGCAGAAAGAAUUUAUUAAGAAAUAAAAGAUAACAAAACUUGACAGGGUUUUUAACAACGAAGCCUUCAUCAAUUACCAUACUACGUUUUUAAAGAUUGAAAAGAAAAAAGGUAGCUAUUAUCCUUGGGACCAAUUCUUUUCUUGCUCCUGAUUGGUUUUUGGCUGCCAAAUUUGUUUGGCUUCAAGGUUCAAAAACUUUCACGAUCUCUCUCUUUCAAGGAAAAUCCAGAUUGAAAAUCAUCGUUCUGGUUCCAAGUAUGUCCCUUUUUUUCUCUUGGAAAAGAAUGAACUUUUCUUUGUGUUCUUUGAAAGUUCAAUUCCGUGGUUGUCUUUUUGGUUUUCUUCUUUCUUUCUUUUUUUUGUUUCAUUAAUAGCUGUGAUUAAAGCUCGAUUAAGGUUGUUGGCUUGAAAUGGCGUUAAGCUAUUCCAAGACAUGAACUUUUUCUUUUUCUUUUUUUCAUGGUAAAAGGGGAUGUUGGGAAAUAUUUAUAGCUUGGGAUUUCAUGCUAAUGGAAACAUUGAUAUAUUUUCAGGUGUAUUUGGUUAGGAAGAAUAUCUGAUUUUGCUUGGUUCUGUUAGAACAAAGUCAGCAGCAACAAGUUAUUUGCUUAAGAACUAAAUGAAACCGAGAGCAAAAAUGAAAAGAACUUGAGCACAAGCACAAAACAUGGAUCAAAAUCAGCAGCAAUCUUUAUUGAUUGAUAAUGAAAAAAUAAAUACAAAGUUAACAAGUCAAAUGACCAUUACCUAAUGAUUCACCUACUCCCACUAAUAAUCAACUAAUACAAGUUAAAUUUUAAACCAAAGCAAGCUGAUGUAUCAGUCAUUACAUCCAUUACAUCAAAAAUCCUACUAACUUAGAUUACAAAUUACAAACAAACUAAAGUUGGUUACAUUGGAACAAAAAGAACAAAAUUAGUCCUAAGCUAGUUGCUGCAUUCGGUUCUGCUCCACAGCUGGUCUGCUUGCUGACUUGCUGGCCAUAUGUUGCAUUGCAGGCCAAUGCUUAACAGUGCAAAUUGGAAGAUGACUUGUCUUUCUUCUUCAAAGAUGUGCAUGAUGGAAAAAGUGAUAAUGAUGAUGAUGAUAAUGGCGAGCCAAACAAUUCAAGUGGUUUUGAAAUGGAAUUAAUAAGAGAUAUUAUAGUUUUUUGUUUAAUAAA
Molecule: long non-coding RNA, 1673 nt
Organism: Gossypium arboreum
Lineage: Eukaryota; Viridiplantae; Streptophyta; Magnoliopsida; Malvales; Malvaceae
Exons: 2
Source: RefSeq, a predicted model, not a curated record